AGUGAACGCUGGCGGCAGGCCUAACACAUGCAAGUCGAGCGGCAGCGCGGGGUCAACCCUGGCGGCGAGCGGCGGACGGGUGAGGAAUUCGUCGGAAUCUGCCUUUUUGUGGGGGAUAACGUAGGGAAACUUACGCUAAUACCGCAUACGUCCUACGGGAGAAAGUGGGGGACCGCAAGGCCUCCCGCAGCCAGAUGAGCCGACGCCCGAUUAGCUAGUUGGUGGGGUAAAGGCCCACCAAGGCGACGCUCGGUAGCUGGUCUGAGAGGAUGAUCAGCCACACUGGGACUGAGACACGGCCCAGACUCCUACGGGAGGCAGCAGUGGGGAAUAUUGGACAAGGGGCGCAAGCCUGAUCCAGCCAUGCCGCGUGUGUGAAGAAGGCCUUCGGGUUGUAAAGCACUUUUGUCCGGAAAGAAAUCCCUGGAGCUAAUACCUUCGGGGGAUGACGGUACCGGAAGAAUAAGCACCGGCUAACUUCGUG
RNAcentral lists this ribosomal RNA (484 nucleotides) under uncultured bacterium. Its description in RNAcentral is "partial 16S ribosomal RNA". It matches the Rfam family "Bacterial small subunit ribosomal RNA", at positions 29 to 507 of the family's 1533-position model. The record is from RNAcentral.